RNAcentral lists this ribosomal RNA (516 nucleotides) under uncultured microorganism. RNAcentral's name for it is "bacterial SSU rRNA". It matches the Rfam family "Bacterial small subunit ribosomal RNA", at positions 9 to 519 of the family's 1533-position model. The record is from RNAcentral.
GAGUUUGAUCGUGGCUCAGAUUGAACGCUGGCGGCAGGCCUAACACAUGCAAGUCGAGCGGAUGAAGGGAGCUUGCUCCUGGAUUCAGCGGCGGACGGGUGAGUAAUGCCUAGGAAUCUGCCUGGGUAGUGGGGGAUAACGUCCGGAAACGGGCGCUAAUACCGCAUACGUCCUGAGGGAGAAAGUGGGGGAUCUUCGGACCUCACGCUAUCAGAUGAGCCUAGGUCGGAUUAGCUAGUUGGUGGGGUAAAGGCCUACCAAGGCGACGAUCCGUAACUGGUCUGAGAGGAUGAUCAGUCACACUGGAACUGAGACACGGUCCAGACUCCUACGGGAGGCAGCAGUGGGGAAUAUUGGACAAUGGGCGAAAGCCUGAUCCAGCCAUGCCGCGUGUGUGAAGAAGGUCUUCGGAUUGUAAAGCACUUUAAGUUGGGAGGAAGGGCAGUAAGUUAAUACCUUGCUGUUUUGACGUUACCAACAGAAUAAGCACCGGCUAACUUCGUGCCAGCAGCCGCA